AUUGAACGCUGGCGGCAGGCCUAACGCAUGCAAGUCGAGCGGAUGAAGGGAGCUUGCUCCUGGAUUCAGCGGCGGACGGGUGAGUAAUGCCUAGGAAUCUGCCUGGUAGUGGGGGAUAACGUCCGGAAACGGGCGCUAAUACCGCAUACGUCCUGAGGGAGAAAGUGGGGGAUCUUCGGACCUCACGCUAUCAGAUGAGCCUAGGUCGGAUUAGCUAGUUGGUGGGGUAAAGGCCUACCAAGGCGACGAUCCGUAACUGGUCUGAGAGGAUGAUCAGUCACACUGGAACUGAGACACGGUCCAGACUCCUACGGGAGGCAGCAGUGGGGAAUAUUGGACAAUGGGCGAAAGCCUGUUCCAGCCAUGCCGCGUGUGUGAAGAAGGUCUUCGGAUUGUAAAGCACUUUAAGUUGGGAGGAAGGGCAGUAAGUUAAUACCUUGCUGUUUUGACGUUACCAACAGAAUAAGCACCGGCUAACUUCGUG
RNAcentral lists this ribosomal RNA (484 nucleotides) under uncultured bacterium. Its description in RNAcentral is "partial 16S ribosomal RNA". It matches the Rfam family "Bacterial small subunit ribosomal RNA", at positions 30 to 507 of the family's 1533-position model. The record is from RNAcentral.